Molecule: ribosomal RNA, 301 nt
Filed under: uncultured bacterium
Lineage: Bacteria
Description: partial 16S ribosomal RNA
Rfam family: Bacterial small subunit ribosomal RNA
Source: RNAcentral
CAGCCGCCACGGUAAUACGGAGGGUGCAAGCGUUAAUCGGAAUUACUGGGCGUAAAGCGCACGCAGGCGGUUUGUUAAGUCAGAUGUGAAAUCCCCGAGCUUAACUUGGGAACUGCAUUUGAAACUGGCAAGCUAGAGUCUUGUAGAGGGGGGUAGAAUUCCAGGUGUAGCGGUGAAAUGCGUAGAGAUCUGGAGGAAUACCGGUGGCGAAGGCGGCCCCCUGGACAAAGACUGACGCUCAGGUGCGAAAGCGUGGGGAGCAAACAGGAUUAGAUACCCCAGUAGUCCCUGUCUCUUAUAA